AUUGAACGCUGGCGGCAGGCUUAACACAUGCAAGUCGAACGGAUGAAGGGGGCUUGCUCUUGGAGUCAGCGGCGGACGGGUGAGUAAUGCCUCGGAAUCUGCCUGGUAGUGGGGGAUAACGUCCGGAAACGGGCGCUAAUACCGCAUACGUCCUGAGGGUGAAAGUGGGGGAUCUUAGGACCUCACGCUAUCAGAUGAGCCUAGGUCGGAUUAGCUAGUUGGUGGGGUAAAGGCUUACCAAGGCGACGAUCCGUAGCUGGUCUGAGAGGAUGAUCAGUCACACUGGAACUGAGACACGGCCCAGACUCCUACGGGAGGCAGCAGUGGGGAAUUUUGGACAAUGGGGGAAAGCCUGAUCCAGCCAUGCCGCGUGUGUGAAGAAGGUCUUCGGAUUGUAAAGCGCUUUAGGUCGGGAGGAAGGGCAGUAAGCUAAUACCUCGCGGUGUUGACGGUACCGGAAGAAUAAGCACCGGCUAACUACGUG
This 484-nucleotide ribosomal RNA is filed under the name uncultured bacterium. RNAcentral's name for it is "partial 16S ribosomal RNA". It matches the Rfam family "Bacterial small subunit ribosomal RNA", at positions 30 to 507 of the family's 1533-position model. The record is from RNAcentral.